CUCGGCUCAUUGCAACCUCCACCUCCUGGGUUCAAACGAUUCUCCUGCCUCAGCCUCCUGAGUACUUGGGAUUACAGGCACGCACCACUAUGCCUGGCUAAUUUUUGUAUUUUUUAGUAGAGAUGGGGUUUCACCAUGUUGGCCAGGCUGGUCUCGGACUCCUGACCUGAAGUGAUCCACCCACCUUGGCCUCCCAAAGUGCUGGGAUUAUAGGCAUGAGCCACUGCGCCAGGCCUAUUGGCCUCUUUUAUUUGCAUUGCUGCCUCUUUCUGUCACUGACCACCCCACCAUCUCCCCCUCCCACUGGUCCUAUCCUGCUUCCCCUCUCCCUAUGGCAUCCUCUUAGCUGGUGUGGGGGGGCAGGACUCCCCAGCCCAGGUUCCCUGGCUCCCAUCCAACGCCUGGCCUGGCCGGGGUGACCUUUGCAGUGACAGGCUCCCUGUCAGAGCUCCAGAUUAGCUAUGUCUGCCGGGAAGUGCUCCAGGGACUGGCCUAUUUGCACUCACAGAAGAAGAUACACAGGGACAUCAAGGGAGCUAACAUCCUCAUCAAUGAUGCUGGGGAGGUCAGAUUGG
Molecule: small RNA, 575 nt
Filed under: Pan troglodytes (chimpanzee)
Lineage: Eukaryota; Metazoa; Chordata; Mammalia; Primates; Hominidae
Description: retained intron
Source: RNAcentral